This 3309-nucleotide ribosomal RNA is filed under the name Triticum aestivum (bread wheat). RNAcentral's name for it is "partial small subunit ribosomal RNA". The record is from RNAcentral. Lineage: Eukaryota; Viridiplantae; Streptophyta; Magnoliopsida; Poales; Poaceae.
AUGGCCCAUCCGUUACGUUGUCCCAUCAUGCUACUCUCCAUCUCUCUUCUUGUGAUCACGAGCGUGGCUGCUGCUUCCAGCAACGACUCUGACCUUUCAGCUCUGGUGGCCUUCAAAGCCGGGCUCUCCGAUCCGCUUGGCCUUCUGUCUAGGAACUGGACAGCCGGCACAUCCUUCUGCUCUUGGGUUGGCGUCUCCUGCAGCCGCCGCCGGCAGCGCGUCACUGCUCUUGUGCUGGCAGACGUUCCUCUCCAUGGGGAGAUCGCUCCUCAUCUCGGUAACCUCUCUUUCCUCGCCGUCCUCACUCUUUCAAACACAGAGAUCACGGGCACCAUCCCAUCCGAUAUAGGCCGACUACGUCGCCUCACCGAUCUUGAUCUUAGCUCUAACCGCCUCUCAGGCGCCAUCCCCGACACCCUAGGAAACCUCACAAAGCUUCAACGCCUUUCUCUACGCCGAAAUGCUCUCUCCGGACAUAUCCCAGAUCAACUCCUCCACAACUUGAACAGCAUGAGGAGGAUACAUCUCGGGCUGAACCAGUUAAGUGGCCUCAUACCAGACCAGUUCUUCAACAACACGCCUUUAUUAACCCAUCUUGACUUCCAAAACAACAGUCUAUCUGGGCCAAUACCACAAGGUAUUGCCGCAUGUCCCAUGCUUGAAUGGGUCAACUUUGAAUAUAACCAGCUGUCCGGACUAGUACCUCUAACCAUAUUCAACAAGUCUAGACUUGACGUGCUUGUCCUCACAUCUAACCACUUCAUAGGAACAAUCCCUACCAAUGAAAGCUUUAAGUUGCCCAUGUUAACUGUCUUCUUCAUUGGUCUCAAUAGUUUCACAGGUCAAUUUCCCUCAAGCCUUGUAUCCUGCAAGUUACUAGUGCUACUUUCUCUAGCUGGAAACUCCUUUGUGGACAAUAUCCCAGAAUGGCUCGCUCAACUAUCACGACUCACUUUUCUUACUAUAGGUGGCAACGACGAUGUUAGCGGGUCAAUUCCAGGUGUGCUCAGAAAUCUUACUCUUGUCCGUCUUCUUGACCUCUCAUUCUGCAACCUAAGCGGAAAUAUUCCAGCCGAGCUAGGGGAAAUGAGUCAGCUCACAGAUUUACGUCUUACAUCAAACAAACUAACAGGUCCGUUUCCAGCUAAUUUUGGCAACCUAUCCCAACUAUCUGAUCUGCUAGUUGAUUGGAACCAAUUAACUGGAUCUUUCCCCGAAACUAUUGGGAACCUCAGGUACCUUAACCGUCUCCAUAUUGGAAUGAAUCAGUUCAAUGGGACCCUUGAGUUCUUGGCCACUAUGUCAAACUGUAGACAACUCCGAUUGCUUGCCAUGUUUUAUUGCUCCUUCACUGGAAACAUUCCUGCAUAUAUUGGUAACCUCUCCACAAAAUUGACAUACCUCAGUGCAGCCGGGAAUCAUUUAACCGGGGCUCUUCCAGUGACAGUAUCAAAUCUAAGUGGUCUUAGGGUAAUGUCCUUUGCAGAGAACCAACUAAGCGGCAUAAUCCCAGCACACAUUGCAUUAUUGGAGAAUCUUGAGCAGCUAAACCUUUCUAGUAACAAGCUGUCUGGCCCAAUCCCGUUAAAGAUUGGUGCCUUGACAAGAUUGCACAGGCUAUCCCUCCAGGGCAAUAAAUUAUCUGGCGCCAUUCCGGAUGGCAUCGGUAACCUAAGUAACCUAGAAUUUAUGUCGCUUGCAGAUAAUCAUCUCUCGUCAGCAAUACCUGAAAGAUUGUUUCAUCUUAGUAACCUUCGUGUGUUAGAUCUAUCUCACAACUUCUUUACAAGUGCACUGCCCUCUAAUCUUGAUUCCAUGAAGCAAAUAUACAUUCUAGAUAUAUCAGCCAACAGCUUGGUUGGUAGUAUUCCAACUUCAUACGGGAAUCUUGGACUAUUAAGCUUCCUGAACCUAUCACACAACACACUCACAGGUUCAAUCGAUGGCUCGUUCAAGGAGUUAAUCGUUCUAACACAGUUGGACCUAUCUUGUAACAACCUUUCUGGUACCAUUCCAAAGUAUUUAGCCAACUUUACUUUACUGACUAGGUUGAACCUUUCUUUCAAUGAGUUCCAAGGUGAGAUACCAAGUGGAGGUAUUUUCUUAAACACCAGUGCAAAAUUAUCUUUGAUGGGAAAUGCUGGGCUGUGUGGUGCCUCACGUCUAGGAUUUUUGCCUUGCCUAGACACUUCCUACAAAAACAAGAGACACUUGCUAAGGAUUGUUCUCCCAGCUAUCUUGGUAACUGUAGGAGCUAUAGCAAUUCUCAUUUACCUAAUGAUCAUGAAGAAAAGUAAAAAGCAGCUACAAGUUACGACUUCCAUUGGCAUGGAUAAUAUUAUCAGUCAUAGACAAGUUUCCUAUCUCGAGAUUGUUCGUGCCACUGAAAAUUUCAGCGAGGACAACCUACUUGGAGUUGGAAGCUUUGGAAAAGUUUUCAGGGGCAAAUUACAAGAUGGUUUGGAGGUUGCGAUAAAGGUGCUCAACAUGCAUGUCGAGCAGGCUGUGAGGAGCUUUGAUGCAGAAUGUCAAGUGCUAAGGAUGGCUCGGCACCGCAACUUGAUACAGAUAUUAAGUACUUGCUCCAACUUUGAAUUCAGAGCAGUACUACUUGAGUACAUGCCCAAAGGUAACUUGGAUGUACAUUUGCACUCUGAAAAUGGAGAAUCGAUAGGAUUUAUCAGGAGAUUGGAUAUUAUGCUUGGUGUAUCAAAAGCAAUGGAGUAUCUGCACCACCAUCAUCAUCAAGUUGUGUUGCACUGCGACCUCAAACCUAAAAACGUGCUAUUCGAUGAUGAGAUGGUGGCGCAUGUUGCGGACUUCGGCAUUGCAAGAUUACUUGUUGGAUAUGACAACUCCUUGAUUUCAGAGAGUAUGCCAGGGACUAUUGGAUACAUGGCACCAGAAUACGCAUUCAUGGGGAAAGCAUCACGAAAGAGCGAUGUGUUUAGCUUUGGAAUAAUACUGCUUGAAGUUUUCACAGGGAAAAGACCCACAGAUGCCAUGUUUGGGGGAGAAUUGAGCAUUAGGCAAUGGGUUUGGCAAGCAUUUUCAGCAAACCUUACUGGCAUUUUGGACGUUAAGAUAGCUCAAGCUGAGGAAAUAAUUUUUUGCUUAAAUCACCAGACCGGCACUUCAUUGGCGUGCACGAGCAGUGACUUGCUUGUGCCAAUAUUCGAACUGGGUCUGAUGUGUUCGAGUGAAUCACCUGACCAGAGGCCAAGCAUGACAGACGUGGUUGUGAGGCUCGAGAACAUCAUGAAGAGUUACUCUGCUACCAUGCCGUCACUGGAACUGGCUCAAUGUUAG